This 378-nucleotide unclassified non-coding RNA is filed under the name plant metagenome. RNAcentral's name for it is "partial contains 5.8S ribosomal RNA, internal transcribed spacer 2, and large subunit ribosomal RNA". The stretch from base 1 to 105 matches the Rfam family "5.8S ribosomal RNA", at positions 50 to 154 of the family's 154-position model. The record is from RNAcentral.
GAAAUGCGAUAAGUAAUGUGAAUUGCAGAAUUCAGUGAAUCAUCGAAUCUUUGAACGCACAUUGCGCCCCUUGGUAUUCCUUGGAGCAUGCCUGUUUGAGUAUCAUGAAAUCUUCAAAGUAAAUCUUUUGUUAACUCAAUUGGUUUCUACUUUGGUAUUGGAGGUCUUUGCAGCUUCACACCUGCUCCUCUUUGUUCAUUAGCUGGAUCUCAGUGUUAUGCUUGGUUCCACUCGGCGUGAUAAGUUAUCUAUCGCUGAGGACACUGUAAAAGGUGGCCAAGGUAAAUGCAGAUGAACCGCUUCUAAUAGUCCAUUGACUUGGACAAUACUUUUAUGAUCUGAUCUCAAAUCAGGUAGGACUACCCGCUGAACUUAAGC